GAGAAAAUGCUUACUACUACUAGACUUGGUACUCACUAGCGAAAAAAUGAUCCCACCCUAAGGUUCAAAAUGGGCCUUUUGAAAUACCCUGGGGUGUCUUCUUUAAAAAAUGGUAGGCCUUUGUGGGGAAAGUUUGAAUAAGCAACCUGCUAUUAGAACCCAAAAUGAGUCAUAAACCUAUAAAAUUCUGUAAAAACUGAAAUGGUCAGGUCUCCUAUAUGGAAGUGUAGCAUCAGGAAAUACGACUAAAGGCAUACAUUGGGGGUAUCGUUUUUCUC
Pelobates cultripes (western spadefoot toad) is the source of this 278-nucleotide non-coding RNA. The record is from the annotation of a GenBank genome assembly. NCBI's taxonomy places the organism in Eukaryota, Metazoa, Chordata, Amphibia, Anura, Pelobatidae.